Molecule: transfer RNA, 70 nt
Filed under: Nandus nandus
Lineage: Eukaryota; Metazoa; Chordata; Actinopteri; Anabantiformes; Nandidae
Description: tRNA-Tyr
Rfam family: tRNA
About the family: Transfer RNA (tRNA) molecules are approximately 80 nucleotides in length. Their secondary structure includes four short double-helical elements and three loops (D, anti-codon, and T loops). Further hydrogen bonds mediate the characteristic L-shaped molecular structure. tRNAs have two regions of fundamental functional importance: the anti-codon, which is responsible for specific mRNA codon recognition, and the 3' end, to which the tRNAs corresponding amino acid is attached (by aminoacyl-tRNA synthetases). tRNAs cope with the degeneracy of the genetic code in two manners: having more than one tRNA (with a specific anti-codon) for a particular amino acid; and 'wobble' base-pairing, i.e. permitting non-standard base-pairing at the 3rd anti-codon position.
Source: RNAcentral
GGUAGGGUGGCUGAGUGUUAGGCGGUGGAUUGUAAACCCAUGUACAGAGGUUCAAGCCCUCUUCCUGCCA